Molecule: ribosomal RNA, 253 nt
Filed under: uncultured bacterium
Lineage: Bacteria
Description: partial 16S ribosomal RNA
Rfam family: Bacterial small subunit ribosomal RNA
Source: RNAcentral
UACGUAGGUGGCAAGCGUUGUUCGGAAUUACUGGGCGUAAAGCGCGCGUAGGCGGCUUUGUAAGUUAGAGGUGAAAGCCCGGAGCUCAACUCCGGAACUGCCUUUAAAACUGCAUCGCUUGAAUCCAGGAGAGGUGAGUGGAAUUCCGAGUGUAGAGGUGAAAUUCGUAGAUAUUCGGAAGAACACCAGUGGCGAAGGCGGCUCACUGGACUGGUAUUGACGCUGAGGUGCGAAAGCGUGGGGAGCAAACAGG